RNAcentral lists this transfer RNA (72 nucleotides) under Capra hircus (goat). It matches the Rfam family "tRNA". From Rfam's summary of the family: Transfer RNA (tRNA) molecules are approximately 80 nucleotides in length. Their secondary structure includes four short double-helical elements and three loops (D, anti-codon, and T loops). Lineage: Eukaryota; Metazoa; Chordata; Mammalia; Artiodactyla; Bovidae. RNAcentral also lists the same sequence under 1 other name. The record is from Rfam by way of RNAcentral.
UCCCUGGUGGCUCAGAGGGUAAAGCAUCUGCCUGCAAUGCAGGAGACCCAGGUUCGAUCCCUGGGUGGGGAA